This 497-nucleotide ribosomal RNA is filed under the name uncultured bacterium. Its description in RNAcentral is "partial 16S ribosomal RNA". It matches the Rfam family "Bacterial small subunit ribosomal RNA", at positions 28 to 507 of the family's 1533-position model. The record is from RNAcentral.
GAUGAACGCUGGCGGCGUGCCUAAUACAUGCAAGUCGAGCGAACAGACGAGGAGCUUGCUCCUCUGACGUUAGCGGCGGACGGGUGAGUAACACGUGGAUAACCUACCUAUAAGACUGGGAUAACUUCGGGAAACCGGAGCUAAUACCGGAUAAUAUAUUGAACCGCAUGGUUCAAUAGUGAAAGACGGUUUUGCUGUCACUUAUAGAUGGAUCCGCGCCGCAUUAGCUAGUUGGUAAGGUAACGGCUUACCAAGGCAACGAUGCGUAGCCGACCUGAGAGGGUGAUCGGCCACACUGGAACUUGGACACGGUCCAGACUCCUACGGGACGCAGCAGUAGGGAAUCUUCCGCAAUGGGCGAAAGCCUGACGGAGCAACGCCGCGUGAGUGAUGAAGGUCUUCGGAUCGUAAAACUCUGUUAUUAGGGAAGAACAAAUGUGUAAGUAACUAUGCACGUCUUGACGGUACCUAAUCAGAAAGCCACGGCUAACUACGUG